Non-coding RNA from Paramuricea clavata, 375 nucleotides. Lineage: Eukaryota; Metazoa; Cnidaria; Anthozoa; Malacalcyonacea; Plexauridae. The record is from the annotation of a GenBank genome assembly.
CCCCCCCUCGGCUCGGACAUCCUUUGUGAAUGGCCCCCAACUGAGCUACGUGGUCAAGUCGGUUCGAGUUGAUGAUAUUUAGGAACUGAGUCUAAUUCCUUCGAUAUCAGUGUAUUCUAUGAUACGAUGUUUUUGUGUUGUUGGUGUUAUGUGUACUCAGGUGAAUAUGCUCCCAAAGGUCGCGGGUUCGAUUCCCACCGUGGCCAAGCAAACUUUUCAGCUUGCCCGGUGUGGACGCACACUCUGAGUAACAUCACAGGCAUCAUAUUCACCUGAGUACACGUGCAUAACACCAACAAACACAAAAAAAUUAUACAUGGUCAACUGCAAUGGAUCUAUAGGAGGGAAGAGCAGCUACAGUGGAAGAGAAAUAGG